This is a long non-coding RNA of Ananas comosus (pineapple), 1021 nucleotides long. RefSeq lists it as uncharacterized. NCBI's taxonomy places the organism in Eukaryota, Viridiplantae, Streptophyta, Magnoliopsida, Poales, Bromeliaceae. The record is from RefSeq and is a predicted model, not a curated record. The transcript has 6 exons.
UGCAGGGACUGAAAUGUAAAUCUGCAGGUUGCAAUGCACUUUUGCAAUUUUCAGGGGCUAAGCUGCAUUUUCUGGACUUAUCCCUUCACCCUUAGUGGAAUACACCUGUCCCAAGGCAGAGAUUCCAUUUCUCUUCUCUCCUUAUCAUCUAUUUUCUUCUCUUUCUCUCUCUCUAGGCUAGUGAAAGCUGAUGGACUUGAGUUUUUCCUUGUGUUGAGCUGAGAGCAGGGGACUAAUUGGAGAGAUCUCUAUAUUAAGGAGCUGUGAAAGAGGGAAUUAGUGAAGAAGCAAGUGCAAAUCUGAAAUCUGAGCUGAAUUCCUGUUGUUGGAGCAGCAAGCUUGUGCUGUUGGUGAUGUGGGUGCUGAGAUCAAUUAGAUAAGGUCUCUAGUUAAGCUAGCAGGCUAAACAUUUUGGUCUGAUGGAAUGGCCGAAUCAAGGAAAACCAGCUAAGGACCUUGGAACUUGAGGGGGUUCAACUUGUUGAAGCAGGAUGAAAAGAAGCCCUUGCUGUUGAAGUUACUGAAUUAGAGGAUUGAGCUAUUUGAAGCAGUGACUAAGGAAGUUGCCACUUGAAGCUGCUGCUUGGUGAAAAUUCUGAGCACCCAGAAUUGGAGAGGAGGAAGGAGCCUCUGGGUGUUUUGCAAUUCAGCAAGUCUAGUACAACCUUGAAGUGGAGCCUUGAAGUAAGUGAGGUCGACGAUGCGCUAAUUACGGUAGAGGCCGUUCUAGUUCUAUUUGCGCUGGGUCGCGAGAGAUAGUUGUCGACGAGUCCCGAGACAUUGAUCUUAGUUGUUGACACCACUACAGGUUCCAGUGCGAGCGUUGUGGCCAUGGAUCGCGGCAAGGGCCCCGCAGCUUAGCUAGCUGACACCAGAGUUCUAGUAGUUUACCAUUUUGGCUUCAUGUAUCAUCUAGUUUGAUGUACAGAGACAUGUAAAUGAAUGUAUUAUAGAAUAUGUAAAUAACUAAAUGCUUUCAUACUCAGUUAUGCAAAGUUCAGUUUGAAAGUUUUAAAUUACA